GUAAUAAAAAGAGCAUCAAGACUGGAAGUCCAUGUUGGGAGGGAAAUAAACUGCAUAACUGAGGGAUUAUUUAUGCUUGUUGAGUAGAAAGGGGCAGUAAACCAGAACCUUUCUCUGUCCCAUAUGCAAGACCCUUUGGCACCUGGAGAUGUAACAGUGAAGCAGAAAUGGGAACCAUUCUGACCUCACAGCUGCUGAUAGAUUGAUCUGCACAGGAAAUCCAGCACUUUUUAGCACUAGAAGAAGCCAAGUGUUCAGUGAGACCAGUGCAGCCUGUGCUGUAGCAGUGACAGCUGCAGAAGCACAGAGAGAGCUGUUGUGAUUCAAUACUCAUGCUUGUCCUCUCUGGUUUUUACAGGAGUCAUGGCCAUGCUGCAGGAUUCAUGGAGUAUAUUACCAGAAAGAACUCUGCAUAGAAUCUGGUCUACUGGAGAUGGUUACUUUCCUUCCUUCCUGGCCUGGCCUAGCUGCUUCCUGCUGCCUUCCUCUUGUAUUUUGAAAAGGAAAAAUAUGAAAAAUAAUUAAUUUUCCCUUUAAAGUGAGGUAACAAAACAAAUGAUACUCAAGUCUGCGACUUAAUGGCAAAGAAUCAAGGAGAAAAAGUGGUUGCAGAUAACUCUCAGUCCAUUUUGCUGAUAACUUUUCCUCACACCAAGGGCUGUAACUCCAUAAAAUCACAGAAUCUCAGAGGACCUCACAGGAGAGCAGGAACUGUAUUGCUGGAGUAUGGGUGGACUCUCCAACCCAUCCCAAGGGGCAGAGCAGGGGGCUCCCAUGCACAUUUCCAAGGCAUUGCAUGACUGUAGGAUGAAAACUGUGAAAGUGUAGAGGAAAGUGAAGAAGUAUCAGGAGAGCAAUAAACGGGGCACUUAUCUCCUCCUUAAUCACAGCCCAGCCUUCAGGAGGUCUGCAGGGAGAACUAAUGGAUUAAAUACAGGUAUUAAAUGAAAUCUUGGAAACAUUUCCCUCACCUGGCAGGACUGAGAAGCUGAUGGUUAUGAGGGUGUGCUCCCAGUGCAUUUGAGCUGUGAGAGACGACCAAAGGAGCUGGGACCCUGGCUGACACUGUACAGCCACAGGAUUGAAUAACCUGGUCUUUUGCUGUUGCCAGGGGCAAAUUUGAAAUUUUCUGAAUACAUCCUUCAUCAAUUCCCAGGUGGACUAAAUGAGGUGCUCCUUCUCAAAUUGCUUUCCACCUGAGGAGGAGGUUAGUCUGUGUUUUAGUUCACUUGCUGCAGUGCUUGACCACCUCCAGAUUAUGGGGCAUGCGAGCAAAGAGCUACAGCUCUUCCACAGCCAAAGACUACAGCAGCAUCCCAAGAGAUGCCUUGAUCACUUACUGAUACAACCUGCACAAAACCUUGCACGAGUGUCCUCAAAAUGCUUGUUUGGAUGUCCAGGUGCCCUUCUGUCAGAAGGAAGGCUCCAGAAUGUGUGGCUGAAGAUGAGGGAUGAUUGCUGUCCUGGUGCCAUGGAAGGCUGAGUGCAGAUGGGAGCUCACCAGGAAGGGUUCAGAAUCUCCAGACUCCAGAAGUGGUUUUGAUCCAUUUCUUCUGCUCCAACACCUUUAUUCCUCUGAUGUCAGGGAGAAGUCCAUACACAGGAAGCUUCUUCAGAAACUCCCCAAUGACCUGAGUUGCUUUUCUCCAGCUCUGGAGAGAAAUGGCAAUGACAUCUCUCAUCAAUGACAUGUGAUCUGUCAACUGGAGAGACUGUUCCUCACACAGAGGGGAGUUAACAUGAGCUGAGAGAUUCCAGCACAUCUCAAAAGUUUUAUCAUAAGUCAGCCUUCAAAAAGGAUUAGAUGCAGAAGAUAUCACCGUGCCUUUCCAGUGCCAGAGGCACUAGAGAUGUAAAUUUAAGGAUGCAGUCAAUAUAACUACCUGAGAUAUGACUUCUCAGGGGCACCAUGUCUCCUCUCCCUUUCCACAGUCUGGACACUGCAAGUUUAUCCAAGGGCUCAGCUACUCUGGUAAGCAGAAAAGUCUCAAUAUGGAACAUAACAGAGAAUAGAGAGCAAAGGUGCUGCAGGGGCUCUGCAGAGUGGGAACAUGGACCUGGAAGCAUUUUCCCCUGUUUCUCUUGUUCCCACCAGCUCCUGUACACCCCAGUUCCCAGUGCCACCAUACAGCACUGCUCCCAGGCAUGAGGCAGGGUGACACAGAGGUACAUGGGUUGCUCUGGAGUAGCAGGAGUGCCAUAAAACCAGAUACUUUUGGAGUUCAUCUGGCUUUACACAGAGAAUUGUUUGAAAAGCACCCUCAUGUGCACCCUGCACAGAGCUCAUUGGCCCCAUGGUUUAAUUGCUGUGGCUCUGUGCUGUCCCAAAGCUGCCAAAGUGCUCCUGGAGUACAGCUGGCAACAGCAGCGAUGGCUGAGCUUGCAGCGUAGGGCAUCCAAGCCAUAACCAGCCUGGAUGUGAAGUGGCACUACAAGAGCCAGGUCCCAUGUCUCUAUCUGCAGAGCAGCACACUCACAGCCUGGACAAACAACUUGUGAGAAGCUGAGAUUUUAUUAUGUAUUCAAGUAAGUGUGUCUCCAUGACACCUGCUGUCCCACUUGGGUGACAGGCUUGGGUGGCACUGUCAGGUACAGACGGGGUUGCUGCAGACUGCUUCAUGGGGACAUCCAUCCUGUGAGCUCAGGGAGGAGCAAUUCCUCAGGGAAAUAUGGGAAAUCACCACUCAGAGGUGUGACCUCUGGAGCCACAUGAUCAAACGAGACAAAAACCCUUCUUGUAUAGCCGACUUUCUUCUUCAUGCAGCCACCAAGAAGUCUCAGCUGUGAUUUUUUUCCAGCUGUGCUGGUGGCAGAUGUCUAUGGGUGGAUUUUGAACUGGAGGAUUUAGCUGCACCAGUGCAAAAUCCCUGCUGUAAACAAGGCUGACAUCUGUAUCUGCCUUUUAUUUCUGCAGCAGCUUUCCUUUCUCCCCCUUCUCCUCUCUAAUAAAGAUAUCCUGGCAAGCUUCCUGUUUUUCAAGAAGGAUCAGAGCUGCCAGUUGCCCUGGCUUUGGCUUCAUGCAGGCCUCUUCCUCUGCCCCUAUUAAUUCCCCUGUAAAUCGGAUCACAAUGAAAGGGAAACGGCAGUGUAAUUUAAUUGUCCACUGGAGAGGGAUGCUGGCAAAGUCCUCAGGAGAUGCCUUUUUUAUCCCUAUAUGUUACUUUGCAGGAGAAGGGGGACACUCAGCAUUAGCUUCCUCUCACCAUGUGCCUUCUCAUAAUGCCCAGGAAUGAAUCGUGGAAGUUCACUGUGCCACGGCUUCCCUGCAUUGGGAGAAUAAGAAAAUGGAGAUGUCCCCACUCCACACUGGAUGUAGGAGUGGGGGGUGAAAAUUAAUUAGGCAAUUCUUGGACAGAGCUCUAAAAUAUAAUGUACUCCCUCAUUGUGGCUGUCAGGCAGCCCCAUAACUUGGCAGAGCACUGUUGGAUUCCAUCCUGUCUCCAGCAAGUUGGAGCUGGGGGUGGAAAAGGGAUGUGGAGCAGAGAGAUCUGUGUCAGAAGCGUUUCUGCAGAGAGACAGGUCCCUUAAUACAGAGAGUAGGGGCAGCAGCAGGAGUCCUGCAGCUGCUGUGGGCUGUGAAAUGGCUCUGGAACUAAAUUUAAAAGUGGCAAACGCUUGGGCACUCAAACCACUCUGGGUAGGAAGGCACAUGACAUGAACGGAGCCCCAGUGCUUCUGUGUCACUGAGCUCUUUCCCCCAGGCAACAUGGUGACAUGUGAUUUGGUAACACAGAUUAUGGUACAGUUUUUCCAUCAGGGCUUGCUCGGAUGCCUGCUUUCCUAGACAUGGUAGCAGGGAGUUGGACAGCUCCUCUGCUGUGGCUGAGGCACAGUGACAUGUUGGCCAUCUCGUCUUUUCUUGAGCUUUUCCUUGGGGACAGUGUUGGCUCUUCCUCUUAACUUCCUAGCAUUCCAUUAAAACUUUCACAAGUUUCUAAUCCUUUAGGGAACCGUCUCUAGCAAUUAGGAAACUGCUUUAAAGAUUAAAGUGAUGUUUUACUGGGAAUCUGAGAGCUGAUACAGUGGGAAAGCUCAAGAAAAGUGUUGAGCUGGAGUCAAGGGGCACUGGGGCUUUGCUCUGAGAUGAAUUUAUUUCCAGAGACUGAUACUCUGACAUGUGAGCUCAUAUAUGGUGGAAAGAUCAGCAGCAGGUGCCUCCUGCAUGGAGGGGGAGGACCCUGCACAUCUUUCCUCUCCCAAAUGGCAGGAACAAGACGGGGGAGGUGUAUGGGGCAACCUUGAGCCUCUUCACAGGAGCUGAGACUUUUAACUGCUGCCAUCAUCAGAAGUGUCACCAAAAUGGGUCUGCUGUUAAUAAUAGGUAGCCUGAAACUGUCACCUGUACAAUGUGCAGCACCAGUGGAACCUCUCAGCCCUUCAACCACUACUGGACACCAGGAACCAUCAGCUGCAUCAGGUGGUAGCUGCAAUUACACACACUGACAUUUUCAUGGUUUGGGUUCUUCUGCCUUGAAAUUCUCAAGCUGGUCUUCAGUUCCUCUCACCCAUCAAGACCAAAAGGACUUGCUGGUAAAAUAUUCCUUUUUCCACACUUUAAAAUAUCUGGCAUAGAAAAUGUACAUGCUUCUGACUUGCCCUCCAGGUGUCUUGAGAUUUAAUUAAUCCCAAGUCACAUUUGAAUAUCUUCUGAGACAGAGGCAUAACACGAAUCCACUUGCAUAGAAAAAGGCAUGCAGAUAAUUGCUUCUGUGUCUCUUAGUAUGGGGAGAAUGUCAGAGGGACAGUCACUUCCUCACAUAUUUCUGAUGAAUUACUGUUUUCAUUUAAAUUCUAUUAAAAAAUAUGUAAGUUGGUGUGCUC
Taeniopygia guttata (zebra finch) is the source of this 4821-nucleotide long non-coding RNA. RefSeq lists it as uncharacterized. Lineage: Eukaryota; Metazoa; Chordata; Aves; Passeriformes; Estrildidae. The record is from RefSeq and is a predicted model, not a curated record.